GCUUGAUACAACAAUUACUGUGAAAUGAGGAACAGUGACAAGAUUUCAGCAAUGGAAACAUCUUCCAGGAUACUGGAGGAUAUAAGGAUGGGAAGACUCUCUGCUGUUAAUUGUUCUGGGAAAGUACCUGUGAUUGUUUUUCCUUACCUUCUAACCAGUAUGAUAAAAAGAAGCAAACGGUAC
RNAcentral lists this long non-coding RNA (183 nucleotides) under Cercocebus atys (sooty mangabey). RNAcentral describes it as "lncRNA (ENSCATG00000045912.1)". Lineage: Eukaryota; Metazoa; Chordata; Mammalia; Primates; Cercopithecidae. The record is from RNAcentral.